RNAcentral lists this ribosomal RNA (337 nucleotides) under Patella ferruginea. RNAcentral's name for it is "partial 12S ribosomal RNA". It matches the Rfam family "Bacterial small subunit ribosomal RNA", at positions 891 to 1400 of the family's 1533-position model. Lineage: Eukaryota; Metazoa; Mollusca; Gastropoda; Patellidae. The record is from RNAcentral.
UGUUUAGAACUCAAAGAACUUGGCGGUGUUUUAGCCAGCUAGGGGAACCUGUCCUUUAAUUCGAUAAUCCACGAAAAUCUUACCUGUUCUGGUUUUCAGUUUGUAUACCGUCGUCGAAAGCUGGCACCAAAAGGGGUUAGAAGCUAGCAAGAAAGAUUUUUCUCUUGUAAGUCAGAUCAAGGUGCAGCCUAUGAAUAGGGAGGAGAUGGGUUACAAUUAAUAAUUUUUAUUGGAGUUCUAAUGAAAUUUAGUUAAUGGAAAGAGGACUUAGCAGUAAUUUCUUAGUUAAAGUUAAGAGAUGAAGUAGGCUCUAGAGCGUGUACAAAUCGCCCGUCAC